GAUGAACGCUGGCGGCGUGCCUAAUACAUGCAAGUCGAGCGAACAGACGAGGAUCUUGCUCCUCUGACGUUAGCGGCGGACGGGUGAGUAACACGUGGAUAACCUACCUAUAAUACUGGGAUAACUUCGGGAAACCGGAGCUAAUACCGGAUAAUAUAUUGAACCGCAUGGUUCAAUAGUGAAAUACGGUUUUUCUGUCUCUUAUAGAUUGUUCCGCGCCGCAUUAGCUAGUUGGUAAGGUAACGGCUUACCAAGGCAACGAUGCGUAGCAGACCUGAGAGGGUGAUCGGCCACACGGGAACUGAGACACGGACCAGACAACUACGGGAGGAAGCAGUAGGGAAUAUUACGCAAUGGGCGAAAGCAUGACGGAGCAAAGCCGCGUGAGUGAUGAAGGUCUUCGGAUCGUAAAACUCUGUUAUUAGGGAAGAAAAAAUGUGUAAGUAACUAUGCACGUAUUGACGGUAACUAAUCAGAAAGCAACGGCUAACUACGUG
Molecule: ribosomal RNA, 497 nt
Filed under: uncultured bacterium
Lineage: Bacteria
Description: partial 16S ribosomal RNA
Rfam family: Bacterial small subunit ribosomal RNA
Source: RNAcentral